This 897-nucleotide ribosomal RNA is filed under the name Paratrichodorus porosus. Its description in RNAcentral is "SSU rRNA". It matches the Rfam family "Eukaryotic small subunit ribosomal RNA", at positions 46 to 950 of the family's 1831-position model. Lineage: Eukaryota; Metazoa; Nematoda; Enoplea; Triplonchida; Trichodoridae. The record is from RNAcentral.
AAGCCAUGCAUGUCUAAGCACAAGCCCUUGAAAGGUAAGGCCGCGAAAAGCUCAUUACAACAGCUAUUGUUUAUUGGAUCUUUACAUUCUUACACGGAUAACUGCGGUAAUUCUGGAGCUACUACGUGCAUUAAACGACGACCUUACGGAAGUCGUGCAUUUGUUAGACCAAACCAAUCGGUCUUCGGACCGUCAUUUGGUGAACUCUGAAUAACUUUGCUGAUCGCACAGUCUCGUACUGGCGACAAAUCCUACAAGUAUCUGCCUUAUCAACUUUCGAUGGUAGUUUAUACGACUACCAUGGUUGUAACGGGUAACGGAGAAUAAGGGUUCGACUCCGGAGAGGGAGCCUGAGAAACGGCUACCACAUCCAAGGAAGGCAGCAGGCGCGCAAAUUACCCACUCGCAGCACGCGGAGGUAGUGACGAAAAAUAACGAGGUGGCUCUCUACGAGGUCCGCCAUCGGAAUGGGUACAAUUUAAAUCCUUUAACGAGGAUCUAUUGGAGGGCAAGUCUGGUGCCAGCAGCCGCGGUAAUUCCAGCUCCAAUAGCGUAUAUUAAAGUUGUUGCGGUUAAAAAGCUCGUAGUUGGAUCUGCGUUUGGUGAAAGCGGUCGCCCGACGGGUUGUUACUGCUUCUCCCGAACUAAUCAUUCGGUUUUCCCUUGAUGCUCUUCAUUGAGUGUCCUGGGUGACCGGAACUUUUACUUUGAAAAAAUUAGAGUGCUCAAAGCAGGCGAUUCGCCCGAAUAUUCGUGCAUGGAAUAAUGAAAAAGGUCCUUGUAGCCUUUUAUUGGUUAUUGUUAUGAGGAAAUGAUCGACGGGGACAGACGGGGGCAUUUGUAUUGCGACGUUAGAGGUGAAAUUCUUGGAUCGUCGCAAGACAAACUACUGCGAAG